This is a long non-coding RNA of Sceloporus undulatus (fence lizard), 1275 nucleotides long. RefSeq lists it as uncharacterized. Lineage: Eukaryota; Metazoa; Chordata; Lepidosauria; Squamata; Phrynosomatidae. The transcript has 5 exons. The record is from RefSeq and is a predicted model, not a curated record.
AUUAAAGAGAGAUUUAAGCACAUUUAAAGCAUCCUGCAAAUAAAGCGAAAAUGAGUGAAGAAGCCACCUUAGGCAGUGAGGAGAAGUGGAAGCCUGCUCUUUGACCACUGCUUUGAUCCUUUUGCAGUGUGGGACCAAGAGAAGAUUUUCAAACGAUGUUAUGAGCACAACUCACAAAAUGACUAUAAAAUAACUGAUGGGCAUGGCCAAUCGUGCAAUAGCAAUUUCUCAAGAUGUGCCAAAUGAAAAGAUAUUUGUUCAAGCACCGCAGUUCAAGCACAAUCAAAAACUGCACUGCUUUGGAAAUCUGAUGAAUAACUUUCGCUGUCUAUGUAGCAGUCCAGAGUUCAGUCUAUACCUUUGUCAGAAAAGCUCACCUUGCAAGUGCAGAACAGAAGAAGUAAUCAGUGGUUGUGACUGAAAGGAGGUGCUAAAGCUGAUGGCAAUGGCCAAACUCAAGGUUCAAACCAUUUUUUCAAGAGAGUUUAUCAGAAUGUACAGUAUUUCUUAAUCGGAUCUUCCUGAAGUUUUUGAAUCCUGGAGUGCCAACAAUUGAACAAAGCACAAUGUGAGUGUGGUAGCCACUCAUGCAGUUGUUGCAUAAGUAAUUAAAAUGACCAAGUACUUUAGCAUGUGCAUUCCUGUGUGCCUGCAAAGAAACAAUAGUGUUUAGGAUGCUAAUCUUGAAUUUCAUUACCUCCAACAAACUCAGCAUUUUGGGAUACAAUAUAUGAACUGGCACAUGCUACUUUGUUCUACACAUCAUCCAUUGACCAUGCUGGCUGAAGCUGAUGGGAGGUGCAGUCCAACAACAUCUGGAGGGCUGUAAAUUAUUUACCCCUAGACUAUGUUACCUUCGCUUGUUAAGAGCAUACAUGCAUUUCUGAAGGGCCCUGGAUGACCCAUCAUUACUUGUGCUAUUUACUCCACUGUAGAAUUCAAUGCUUUCCCAGCUGUUCUCAGAGGAGAAAAGAUGUUUGAAAUUGUUACUUUAUGGAGAUCUAUGACAUACUAUAGCAUUUAAGACAAGGCUGGUAAGGAUUUACACAAAACCUUGAAUUUCAAGGCUGUCACGAGGAAAGAAGUCAUAUUUACACACAUUUAUCUUAAAUAGAUAUCAUGUUGGUGGGGAACAUGUGGUUCAGAUGUGAUAUGUGUCCCUUAACCUGAUUUUAUUAAAACUUACCCAACGCUCCUGUUCCUUUUCUUCAGUUACUGGGUUCUUUCCACCACAUUAUUCUGUUAAUUUCUUCUGUGAUCUAACUGCAAAUGCAC